UAACCUUGGAGAGAUAUCUUUGUGAUGGU
Molecule: non-coding RNA, 29 nt
Filed under: Mus musculus (house mouse)
Lineage: Eukaryota; Metazoa; Chordata; Mammalia; Rodentia; Muridae
Source: RNAcentral